AGAACUUGUGUUUCUUUUUAACUUGUGGACAAAGACUUAAGGACAGCUCCAAAAAACAUAUCUUCUUUUGCAACUCAGAACUCACUGUUCAGUAUGAGUUCUGAUACAUUUAAGGAUUAUACA
Small nucleolar RNA from Nycticebus coucang (slow loris), 123 nucleotides. RefSeq annotates it as small nucleolar RNA SNORA40. The transcript has a single exon. Lineage: Eukaryota; Metazoa; Chordata; Mammalia; Primates; Lorisidae. The record is from RefSeq and is a predicted model, not a curated record.